This 253-nucleotide ribosomal RNA is filed under the name uncultured bacterium. Its description in RNAcentral is "partial 16S ribosomal RNA". It matches the Rfam family "Bacterial small subunit ribosomal RNA", at positions 524 to 776 of the family's 1533-position model. The record is from RNAcentral.
UACGUAGGUGGCAAGCGUUGUCCGGAUUUACUGGGCGUAAAGAGCGCGCAGGCGGUCGUUCAAGUCGCGUGUGAAAGCCCCCGGCUCAACUGGGGAGGGUCACGCGAUACUGAUCGACUGGAAGGCAGGAGAGGGUAGUGGAAUUCCCGGUGUAGUGGUGAAAUGCGUAGAUAUCGGGAGGAACACCUGCGGCGAAGGCGGGUUGCUGGGCUGAUACUGACGCUGAUGCGCGAAAGCCAGGGGAGCGAACGGG